UGGGGAAUAUUGGACAAUGGGCGAAAGCCUGAUCCAGCCAUGCCGCGUGUGUGAAGAAGGUCUUCGGAUUGUAAAGCACUUUAAGUUGGGAGGAAGGGCAGUAAGCGAAUACCUUGCUGUUUUGACGUUACCGACAGAAUAAGCACCGGCUAACUCUGUGCCAGCAGCCGCGUUAAUACAGAGGGUGCGAGCGUUAAUCGGAUUUACUGGGCGUAAAGCGUGCGUAGGCGGCUAAUUGAGUCGGAUGUGAAAUCCCCGAGCUUAACUUGGGAAUUGCAUUCGAUACUGGUUAGCUAGAGUGUGGGAGAGGAUGGUAGAAUUCCAGGUGUAGCUGUGAAAUGCGUAGAGAUCUGGAGGAAUACCGAUGGCGAAGGCAGCCAUCUGGCCUAACACUGACGCUGGGGUACGAAAGCAUGGGGAGCAAACAGG
RNAcentral lists this ribosomal RNA (429 nucleotides) under Pseudomonadota bacterium. RNAcentral's name for it is "Proteobacteria bacterium partial 16S ribosomal RNA". It matches the Rfam family "Bacterial small subunit ribosomal RNA", at positions 355 to 776 of the family's 1533-position model. Lineage: Bacteria; Pseudomonadati; Pseudomonadota. The record is from RNAcentral.